This 253-nucleotide ribosomal RNA is filed under the name uncultured bacterium. RNAcentral's name for it is "partial 16S ribosomal RNA". It matches the Rfam family "Bacterial small subunit ribosomal RNA", at positions 524 to 776 of the family's 1533-position model. The record is from RNAcentral.
UACGGAGGGUGCAAGCAUUAAUCGGAUUUAUUGGGCGUAAAGGGCGCGUAGGCGGGGAGAAAAGUCAGAUGUGAAAUCCCGGGGCUCAACCUCGGAACUGCAUUUGAAACUGUCUCUCUAGAGGGUAGGCGGAGAAAACGGAAUUCCACAAGUAGCGGUGAAAUGCGUAGAUAUGUGGAAGAACACCGGUGGCGAAGGCGGUUUUCUAGCUUAAACCUGACGCUGAGGCGCGAAAGCAAGGGGAUCAAACAGG